GCGGACGUGGUGGAACUGGUAGACACGCUAUCUUGAGGGGGUAGUGGGGCAACCCGUGUCGGUUCGAGUCCGACCGUCCGCACCA
This 85-nucleotide transfer RNA is filed under the name Pseudomonadota bacterium. RNAcentral describes it as "tRNA-Leu". It matches the Rfam family "tRNA". Rfam says of the family: Transfer RNA (tRNA) molecules are approximately 80 nucleotides in length. Their secondary structure includes four short double-helical elements and three loops (D, anti-codon, and T loops). The record is from RNAcentral. Lineage: Bacteria; Pseudomonadati; Pseudomonadota.